AUGGCAGCAAAGCAGCACAAAAUCCUGAUGGAGCUGAAAUGGGAGCAGGCAGAAAUCCAGCACCUGAAAAACAUCUACAGGGCAGCCCAUCAAGAAAGGAAGAUUUUAUUAAAGCAGCAGAGAGAAAUCUUAAUGAUGCAGCAUUCAACAGCACAACUCCAGGAAAAGCUGCCCAGUUUGGCUGGAAAGCAGGAGGUUAUGAAGUCAGGGAGUAAACACAAUUGUGUCCAGCUAAAUCAUAAAAAGAGCAAGAAAUAUGAGGGGCAAGUAAAGCUUUUCUCUGUGAUUGCUGUAGGCAGGACCAAAUUCAGUGGAGAAGUUGGAGACAGGCAUGUUCUAGAUAAUUGUGUGAGCUUUAAAUACUCCAAAAAGGAAGUGUAUGGUGAUAAAUUUUUUAAACUUCUGUGUUCAAACAGUUGAUAAAUCAAGAUCACUGCUUAUCAUUCUGUCCCAAAUGGUGAGUUCCUCAGGGCACCUUUAAUGAUGCCACACAACUGCUAAUGAUAUUUCAUGCUUUCAUGGUGGCUUUUAACUACAAACCCAAACACUUUGCAACUAUAUAUUAAUGAGGCUUCACAAUACCCAUAUGGAAUGAGUAGAAAUGUAUUGAUUUAAUUGGGGAAAUUCACUCCUUUUUCACCCUCUACUUUGAGCCUCUGCAUCACUCAGCCCUUCAGAACUGCUCUGUGCUUCACUGAGGAUUUAACCAGAGAAGUAUUUUGUAAUACACAGGGCUAAAUUUUAGGCUUAAACUGAAGCACAGAGAUGUCAUGUAAAAUCGUACAGUGAGAUAUAAUUCAGGAGUUUGCUCAGACUGAGAAAUCCCUGUCCUGCUGUUCCCCAGGAGCAUCCCUGUCUGCUUCCUGCUGGGCUGGAGGAGCUGAGCAGCGUGAAUGAGAACCCCACAGCAUCUAUACUGUUCAGAACAAAAAUCUAGCUUGCUUCAGGAAGAGGAAAACAAGCAGUUAAAGACAUAUAUUUAUCAAUAUGAAUUAAACUUCCCUUUCAUUCAGUGUUACCCAGAGCUUUAGCAGGGUGGUGAGUCAGGUUUGUGCAUUUACUUAAGUCCCCACAGGGGAAGGCUUUCAAAUAAAUCCCUGCAUGGAACUGAUCUAUUAUUCAUGGUGUUAUUGAUUAUAAGUCAGAGAAAUCUUUAAAAGGUUUCUUGGCUGUGCUUUCACUUCUUAUUACUGACAAGGCUGCUCGUAGGAGAACAGUGAAUAUUUGUGUCAGCCUGGAGCAGCCAAGGGCUGGUGGAACUCAAAUGCACCCAAAUUCUGGCUGAUUGUCCAUAGAUCUCUGUCCUGUGUAGGAGUGCAGAGUGGUGAUUAUGCUAUUAAUCCACCUUCAUGAGUCUGUUCAUAUUUUAUAUUGAUCAGGAAUGAAGCAUUCAGUGUUGAACUCUUUACAGCUUUUCUACUGAGAACAAGGAAUCACUGGUACAACACCAGAAACAGGUGGAGGAGUUCUCAGGUUUGAAGCAGUCCCUUAAUGCUCAGGAUAAUGUUUUCUUACCUCUGGAACCUACAAAUUCAGCUGGAAUGGAAUCUGUAGCCACACUUGUUACAAGAAAAGGCCAAAAGUGUGUAUUUCUGGUAAGGACUACAUCUGCAAUUCCAUUAAUGCCUAAAGAAAGGGUAUCCCAGAUUACAUUUGCAUUUAAAUGGGACCAACACAAGACUCAUUUGGCAUUUGGGAACAUGUUGUUAAAAUAAGUGUGUUGGUUAAAUGCACUUUUUCCUUAAAACAUAACUCUGUCUCCUAAAUAUUUACAUUCUAGGAAUCUGUGCUGGAGGAAAAAGCACUUAUUUCACACCCUGAUCCUAAAGAUAAUGAAGAUAAUCCAUGUGGUGGAAAGUACCCAGUGAAAGGCUUGGGGAUGCUUCCUACUUGGUGUAACUUAUGCCCGGUUCAGGCAGAAAAUACUCUUGAAGGAACAGGUCAAUCAUAUUUAAUGCUAUUAUGUCUAAUCUGUUUCAACUACUUCAAUCAAAUUUCAAUCCAGACAGAAAGAGAGACAAUCUUCUCAUUCAUUACCAAAGUGUCUUGCUCACUAUAACCAAUGUAUAAAUCACUGCUGGGCAAGAUGGUGGGGAUCUCUCAGAGGUUUAUUAAGAGAGAUGAUUAUACUGCUUCUCCAGAACAAAAUCAUAACUUACUCUGAUGGUGUCAUUAACAAUUUGCUCUCUUUUUCAAGAAUUUAAGGCUGUUCUUUUUAAAAGAACAUAGAUCAGUUGAAGAUAGACUUGGACAGGACAUGCUGGAGUUUUUUGUUUCCAAGUUUUAUCCUCAGCUCAUAUUUCUUACUCUUAGUCAGACAGGUGAAAAAUAAAACUGUCUGUUUAUAUAUGAGUCAGUUAUACAUAGUUCUGGGUAUGCAUAAUUUCUGUAAUAUAAAUAUUUACAUAUUGUGGCAGUAUUUCCUAUUUCUGUCAUAUUUCUAAUGAACCAUUUUUAUGCAUUUCACAAAAUCACAGAAUAUCCUGAUUUGGAAGGGACCCACAAGGAUCAUGAAGUCCAACUUCUAAUUUACUCCUAGAUAUAGUGAGGAGCAUGAUAGAUUUGAGUGUUCUAAAUUAUCUAUCAGCAAGCUCUUCUAUAAAAUAUUUUUUCUUUUAAAUGCUGAUUUUUUAAAAAAAUUCUUUUAAAUGUUCCAGUUAAAGAAGUGGAAGUGCCUGUCCCUUCUGAGAUCCAUCGGGUGGAUGCCAGUCAGUGUUUGAAGCAUUUGGACCAUACUUCUCAUGAAGCUUCUGAUGAACUAAAUUUGAAAGCAUUUUCUGAGGGAUUAACUUCCACUGAAUCACUUUCCAAGUCAAAUAACUUCUUUCUGAAAUGUGAAAGUGCCAAAUCAGACUCUUUUCACCCAGAAUUUCAGAAAGUGUCUGCAGUUUGCAUCAGCUGCUCAAAAAGUUCCAUUUCAGACCCAGAAUUAGAGCUGAAGCAUGGAGAGGACACAGAUGUCAGUGUCCCAGAAGAGUUUGUCUGUGACAGUGGUGAUGUGU
RNAcentral lists this long non-coding RNA (3002 nucleotides) under Taeniopygia guttata (zebra finch). RNAcentral's name for it is "lncRNA (ENSTGUG00000020042.1)". Lineage: Eukaryota; Metazoa; Chordata; Aves; Passeriformes; Estrildidae. The record is from RNAcentral.